CACUGUGGGCUUGGCGGCGUUGGUGGAGGUGCUUUGUAGUCACCUUGCGCCGCUGUCAGUUGUAUUAUUCCCACCUGUGUUCUGACAGUCAGUAAGCAGCAAGCUACAAUGUGUAGUUCUCCUAGACACUGCUGGAGCCUCGAGUGUGUUGCGUCUGUUCAGUGUGCGGUGCCGUCCGUUUCUUGUGUACAUCGCAGCCUUUUCAAAUGUCUGGACGAGUGCUCCCCUGGCCGCCAAUUACGGUCGUCUCUUCCACGGCUGCCUGGCACAUUCCUAGCAAGGGCGGUGGCGUCAGCACGGGACAGACACCCUUCGAACAUCAAUCUUGCAACGGGACACAUUGACCAGCUGAACCCGCGAGUGUGGUACUGAAGACUGUCGCAAGAGGAAAACAGAAUUCUAACCUUUGUAGGAAAAAUGGGCAUACAUUAACCACCACACUAAUAAUAUUGCACCAAAACGGCAAACACCAUUUACGAGACUAUACAGACACAAAUUCACCAACUUUAUUAAGUGUCAGUGGUCAUUAGGCAGUGGCAAAAACUGGCUCAUAAUGUUCAUUGAUAUAUUGAGACGCUCUGUGUGUGUGUGUGUGUG
Long non-coding RNA from Scylla paramamosain (green mud crab), 597 nucleotides. RefSeq lists it as uncharacterized. The record is from RefSeq and is a predicted model, not a curated record. Lineage: Eukaryota; Metazoa; Arthropoda; Malacostraca; Decapoda; Portunidae. The transcript is spliced from 3 exons.